GACGAACCGUGCGAACGUUGUUCGGAAUCACUGGGCUUAAAGGGCGCGUAGGCGGGCCGGACAGUCUGUGGUGAAAGCCCCCGGCUCAACUGGGGAGGGUCAUUCGAUACUGAUCGACUUGAAGGCAGGAGAGGGAAGUGGAAUUCCGGGUGUAGUGGUGAAAUGCGUAGAUAUCCGGAGGAACACCAGUGGCGAAGGCGACUUCCUGGCCUGUUCUUGACGCUGAGGCGCGAAAGCUGGGGGAGCAAACGGG
RNAcentral lists this ribosomal RNA (253 nucleotides) under uncultured bacterium. RNAcentral describes it as "partial 16S ribosomal RNA". It matches the Rfam family "Bacterial small subunit ribosomal RNA", at positions 524 to 776 of the family's 1533-position model. The record is from RNAcentral.